RNAcentral lists this long non-coding RNA (635 nucleotides) under Fukomys damarensis (Damara mole-rat). RNAcentral's name for it is "lncRNA (ENSFDAG00000025458.1)". Lineage: Eukaryota; Metazoa; Chordata; Mammalia; Rodentia; Bathyergidae. The record is from RNAcentral.
GGCCCGCGCCCCCGUCGGGGCUCCCGGAGAGCGAGCGAGAGCGCUUCGUCCCCGGAGGGGUCGGGUGCAGGAGCCCCUCUAUGCACACACACACCUCCACCGCCGCCAAUGCACUCUUCUUGCUCCUCCUCCUCCUGCAGACCAUUGCUGGGAAAAAAAUAAAACACCAACCCCAAGCUCCAGCGACAAGGAAAGAUGUCGCAUCAGACUGUGACUGUUGCGAGGAGAAUGAGAAAGGACUCUUGUGUCCGAGGCAGCCCAGAGCUCCGGCAAUAGCAACUUCAGCGCAAUGCACCCUCGGAGGAAGUUUUCCUAGGACAGAACCAAACUUGGAAGGAGUGGACCCGAGGGGUGCAGCAGUCGCCAGGCUCCCCUCUCCGCGCCCAACAGCACCCAGCACCGCCAAGCCUUCCGGGACCCAAAAAGUUUUACCACGCCAAGGGGAAGCCUGAGAAAUGCGUUUCUGAGAGGGAGCCAAAGGAGGCUGCGGGCUCGGGCCGGCGGCUGGCCACGCGUGACUUGGAGGAGGAGGGAAGGCGCCACUUCUUUGUUGUCGCCCUCGGAGCCAUCACCUAGCAGGUGGACCAAGCCCCGCGCCCCAGAGACCCGGAGCAUCAGCGGCCCCGCCCGGCCCG